Molecule: long non-coding RNA, 396 nt
Organism: Tympanuchus pallidicinctus (lesser prairie-chicken)
Lineage: Eukaryota; Metazoa; Chordata; Aves; Galliformes; Phasianidae
Exons: 2
Source: RefSeq, a predicted model, not a curated record
GCAGGGAGUCAGCAGUUGAGGCUGCAUUUGGUGCAGGAAUGACUGGAGGCCGGGAGGAGAAACCCAGAGCUGCGAUGCUCCGGGCACCAGCAGCUCCGCAUGCAGGGUCAGCCUCUGCUCCCAGGGAGAAGCAAUGGGGGCUCUUCCAACCCAAAAGAAGCUGAGGAGCAGCAGGAAGUCCUGCUUCUACAAGGAAGGAAGCCCGGAGAUGACACAGGGGAGAGCUGUGCCGCGUGGCUGCAGGGGGACAUCAGCGGUGCCACAUCUGCUCCUCUCCGCUCCGUUCCGUCCUUGCUGUUCAAUGAUUUUCUUUCCUUUUCUUUUUUUUCUUUUUUUCUUUUUUUUUCCUGCCUCGUUAUUUCACCACGGGGAGAAAUUAAACGCUCCAGAUGGUAA